AUUAAACGCUGGCGGCAUGCCUCACACAUGCAAGUCGAACGGCAGCACGGGGCGAACCCUGGUGGCGAGUGGCGGACGGGUGAGUAAAGCAUCGGAACGUAUCCUGGAGUGGGGGAUAACGUAGCGAAAGUUACGCUAAUACCGCAUAUUCUGUGAGCAGGAAAGCAGGGAUCGCAAGACCUUGCGCUCUGGGAGCGGCCGAUGUCGGAUUAGCUAGUUGGUGGGGUAAAGGCCUACCAAGGCGACGAUCCGUAGCGGGUCUGAGAGGAUGAUCCGCCACACUGGGACUGAGACACGGCCCAGACUCCUACGGGAGGCAGCAGUGGGGAAUUUUUGGACAAUGGGCGGAAGCCUGAUCCAGCCAUGCCGCGUGAGUGAAGAAGGCCUCGGUUGU
This 394-nucleotide ribosomal RNA is filed under the name uncultured bacterium. RNAcentral's name for it is "bacterial SSU rRNA". It matches the Rfam family "Bacterial small subunit ribosomal RNA", at positions 29 to 426 of the family's 1533-position model. The record is from RNAcentral.